This 207-nucleotide ribosomal RNA is filed under the name uncultured bacterium. Its description in RNAcentral is "partial 16S ribosomal RNA". It matches the Rfam family "Bacterial small subunit ribosomal RNA", at positions 568 to 774 of the family's 1533-position model. The record is from RNAcentral.
CACGUAGGCGGAUUAGUCAGUCAGAGGUGAAAUCCCAGGGCUCAACCCUGGAACUGCCUUUGAUACUGCUAGUCUUGAGUUCGAGAGAGGUGAGUGGAAUUCUGAGUGUAGAGGUGAAAUUCGUAGAUAUUCGGAGGAACACCAGUGGCGAAGGCGGCUCACUGGCUCGAUACUGACGCUGAGGUGCGAAAGUGUGGGGAGCAAACA